This 510-nucleotide ribosomal RNA is filed under the name uncultured bacterium. Its description in RNAcentral is "partial 16S ribosomal RNA". It matches the Rfam family "Bacterial small subunit ribosomal RNA", at positions 28 to 505 of the family's 1533-position model. The record is from RNAcentral.
GAUGAACGCUGGCGGCGUGCCUAAUACAUGCAAGUCGAACGAAACUUCUUUAUCACCGAGUGCUUGCACUCACCGAUAAAGAGUUGAGUGGCGAACGGGUGAGUAACACGUGGGCAACCUGCCCAAAAGAGGGGGAUAACACUUGGAAACAGGUGCUAAUACCGCAUAACCAUAGUUACCGCAUGGUAACUAUGUAAAAGGUGGCUAUACUACCGCUUUUGGAUGGGCCCGCGGCGCAUUAGCUAGUUGGUAGGGUAAAGGCUUACCAAGGCAAUGAUGCGUAGCCGAAUUGAGAGGUUGAUCGGCCACAUUGGGACUGAGACACGGCCCAAACUCCUACGGGAGGCAGCAGUAGGGAAUCUUCCACAAUGGGCGAAAGCCUGAUGGAGCAACGCCGCGUGGGUGAAGAAGGUCUUCGGAUCGUAAAACCCUGUUGUUAGAGAAGAAAGUGCGUGAGAGUAACUGUUCACGUUUCGACGGUAUCUAACCAGAAAGCCACUGCUAACUACG